GCUCUUAUGGUGUAAUGGUUAGCACUCUGGACUUUGAAUCCAGCGAUCCGGGUUCAAAUCCCGGUAGGACUGUUUUGCA
RNAcentral lists this transfer RNA (79 nucleotides) under Phytophthora infestans (potato late blight agent). RNAcentral's name for it is "tRNA-Gln". It matches the Rfam family "tRNA". From Rfam's summary of the family: Transfer RNA (tRNA) molecules are approximately 80 nucleotides in length. Their secondary structure includes four short double-helical elements and three loops (D, anti-codon, and T loops). The record is from RNAcentral. Lineage: Eukaryota; Oomycota; Peronosporomycetes; Peronosporales; Peronosporaceae.